RNAcentral lists this long non-coding RNA (243 nucleotides) under Gossypium barbadense (sea-island cotton). Its description in RNAcentral is "long non-coding RNA (GBAR_LNC018622)". The record is from RNAcentral. Lineage: Eukaryota; Viridiplantae; Streptophyta; Magnoliopsida; Malvales; Malvaceae.
AAAUAUUUACGUUUGAUCUUUUCAAUUUCUUUGUUAUUUUACUUGUUCGUUGCUUAAUCGAGUUUAUCCUCAACAUCAUGUUAUUAUAUUAGUAAGCAAAUGUGUCAUUAGUGUUUAAAUUGAUGACUAGGCUAAUGAAAUGUUUAAUGUUAUACUUUGGUGAGUCAAUUAGAACAUUUUGAAAUUUAGAGACCAAUUUAAAAUUUGGACAAUAGUUUAGAGGUGUUUGAUGGUAGGGGUGAG